RNAcentral lists this ribosomal RNA (247 nucleotides) under uncultured bacterium. RNAcentral's name for it is "partial small subunit ribosomal RNA". It matches the Rfam family "Bacterial small subunit ribosomal RNA", at positions 26 to 285 of the family's 1533-position model. The record is from RNAcentral.
AGAAUCAACGCUGGCGGCGUGCCUAACACAUGCAAGUCGCGACGAGAAAGGGGAGCAAUCCCUGAGUAAAGUGGCGCACGGGUGAGUAACACGUGAAUCAUCUACCUCCGAGUGGGGAAUAACCUAGAGAAAUCUGGGCUAAUAACCGCAUAACGCUUACGAGUCAAAGCAGCAAUGCGCUUGGAGAGGAGUUCGCGGCCGAUUAGUUAGUUGGCGGGGUAAUGGCCCACCAAGACGAUGAUCGGUA